AUGCAGCACUUUCAAUUCAUAAGUGAUGAAAGAUUUCAAACAUUCAAGGAGGGGUUAAUGCAUCCGGGGCUUGCCUUGGUUGCAGAGCUGAGAGGGACCCUCGAAGACUUCCCAAGUCUCGGAUCCUACUUCCUCGAAUGGAGCACCGACCUCGGGGUUCGGUUCAACGAUCGCUCCUUCGGUCACGGACACUAUACGCAAAAUGAUGGAUGCUCAUGAUAUGCGUAUGACAAAUAUUUGAGAAGGACCGAGUUGAGUACUACUGGCCCUCUUGGUGCAACAUAGACUAAACAAUAAUUGAAGUUGUUUACCAUUUUAGUGUUUUUACCCAAGAGGUUGCAUCAGUAAAUUAAGAUUUCUCUUAAUCCAUAAUUGUCCUUAGUUAACUAAUUAUUAAUCCUUUUUAUCUUAAUUAAUUCUUAAUUAAUUACUAAUGACAGUAAUUAAACAUUAAUGCCAAACAAUAAUUAAAUGUCAAAGGUCAUUAAGGUUAAGGACCUCAGAUCAUCACACAAUUCCAAAAUCACUCAAACCCUAAUUUUGAGAAUUUAAACUAAUUAUUAUCUAAUUAUUUUAGAAUUAUUAUUUAACUACUAAUUAAGGGUAUAAUAAUAUUUUAUUCAAACAUUAUCCAAAUGCCACCAAAUUUUGUGUGAAGCCAGGGAAUAAUAUUCAGAGACUCCCCACAAAUUUUGGUGAUUUUUGGACAUAUUAAUAAAUUCCUAAAAAUCAUGGAAAUUCUAUUUAUUAGCUAAAGAACACAAUUUUUGCACAUGCUCAAAAUAUCAGAAAAUGAAACCUAAUAUUUUUCCUGUGUUCUACUUAUUUCAUAGAACGUGCAUAAAAAUUCCCAUGAUUUUUGAAUCAGUGCACAAUUUUUCACACAAAUUCAAACAUAAGGCACUUUUAAAUCAAAAAAGAAAAAAGAAAAACAGUUUGAAACCGGAAGGGGCCCGGCUAAAUGGCCCGC
RNAcentral lists this long non-coding RNA (970 nucleotides) under Sorghum bicolor (sorghum). RNAcentral's name for it is "long non-coding RNA (SBIC_LNC017919)". The record is from RNAcentral. Lineage: Eukaryota; Viridiplantae; Streptophyta; Magnoliopsida; Poales; Poaceae.